GGACUACCGGGGUAUCUAAUCCUGUUUGCUCCCCACGCUUUCGUGCCUGAGCGUCAGUGUUAGCCCAGGGGGCUGCCUUCGCCAUCGGUGUUCCUCCACAUCUCUACGCAUUUCACUGCUACACGUGGAAUUCCACCCCCCUCUGCCACACUCAAGCUCGCCAGUUUCCAAUGCAGUUCCCAGGUUGAGCCCGGGGCUUUCACAUCGAACUUAACGAACCGCCUGCGCACGCUUUACGCCCAGUAAUUCCGAUUAACGCUCGCACCCUACGUAUUACCGCGGCUGCUGGCAC
RNAcentral lists this ribosomal RNA (292 nucleotides) under uncultured bacterium. RNAcentral describes it as "partial 16S ribosomal RNA". The record is from RNAcentral. RNAcentral also lists the same sequence under 1 other name.